UGGGGAAUCUUGGACAAUGGGCGAAAGCCUGAUCCAGCCACGCCGCGUGAGUGAUGAAGGCCUUCGGGUUGUAAAGCUCUGUGGGGAGGGACGAAAAAGGUGGUCAAGAUAACGGGCCACCCUUGACGGUACCUCCUUAGCAAGCACCGGCUAACUCUGUGCCAGCAGCCGCGGUAGGACAGAGGGUGCGAACGUUGCUCGGAAUCACUGGGCGUAAAGCGCGUGUAGGCGGACCAGCAAGUCAGGUGUGAAAUCCCUGGGCUCAACCUAGGAACUGCAUCUGAAACUGCUGGUCUUGAGUGUCGGAGAGGGAAGCGGAAUUCCUGGUGUAGAGGUGAAAUUCGUAGAUAUCAGGAGGAACACCGGUGGCGAAGGCGGCUUCCUGGACGACUACUGACGCUGAGACGCGAAAGCGUGGGGAGCAAACAGGAUUAGAUACCCUGGUAGUCCACGCCGUAAACGAUGAGUGCUAGAUGUCUCGGGUAUUGACCCCUGAGGUGUCGUAGCUAACGCGUUAAGCACUCCGCCUGGGAACUACGGCCGCAAGGCUAAAACUCAAAUGAAUUGACG
RNAcentral lists this ribosomal RNA (570 nucleotides) under uncultured bacterium. RNAcentral's name for it is "bacterial SSU rRNA". It matches the Rfam family "Bacterial small subunit ribosomal RNA", at positions 355 to 915 of the family's 1533-position model. The record is from RNAcentral.